ACCUGGCUGGCUCACUUGGUAGAGCGUGUGACUCUUGAUCUCGGGGUCGUAAGUUCGAGCCCCACGUUGGGCA
This 73-nucleotide transfer RNA is filed under the name Ailuropoda melanoleuca (giant panda). It matches the Rfam family "tRNA". From Rfam's summary of the family: Transfer RNA (tRNA) molecules are approximately 80 nucleotides in length. Their secondary structure includes four short double-helical elements and three loops (D, anti-codon, and T loops). Further hydrogen bonds mediate the characteristic L-shaped molecular structure. tRNAs have two regions of fundamental functional importance: the anti-codon, which is responsible for specific mRNA codon recognition, and the 3' end, to which the tRNAs corresponding amino acid is attached (by aminoacyl-tRNA synthetases). tRNAs cope with the degeneracy of the genetic code in two manners: having more than one tRNA (with a specific anti-codon) for a particular amino acid; and 'wobble' base-pairing, i.e. permitting non-standard base-pairing at the 3rd anti-codon position. The record is from Rfam by way of RNAcentral. Lineage: Eukaryota; Metazoa; Chordata; Mammalia; Carnivora; Ursidae.